ACUAUGCUUAUUUUUUCAGUCGUACUGUUCCACAUUCUCACGUGUACCCAUCAGUUUGUUGUCAUUAAAAUUCUAACUGUUAGCGAUAAAUUUUGUCGCUGUUCUUAGAAAAACAUUCGCUUCAUAGUGUAGUGUGUAAUUUCUUGUGUCCGGAUCUUACGACGCAGGCUGGCGAGUCAUAAUGUUCUAGCUCACUAACAAAUUCGAACGUCGACUAGACUCGAAUUCAUCGGAGAUUGUUGGCAUCAGUAUGCUGUAGCACGAAGGCGAUGGCCAAGCAUACUAGUGAUGUGCAAAACGGCUGCAGAAUCACCUCGGUCCGGGCGGAGAUACCUUGCACGGCGAUAGGUCCCUUGGCGAUGAGCCGCUUAAUGUGCUACUAGUGUGGUAUGUGGAAUGUGUUUAUCUUUAGUUUCAUCGGUUUCAUCCCUACCAAGGUAAAUUCGGUUGUGUUGCUGUCAGCUUUGCAGCUAACAGAUAACCAUGUGCAGCACAGAACUACAUCAAGGAGAUAUUAAGCUGGUAACAAGAACAGUGUCGACAGAUGCUCCUUAUUCUGGACGGUGAAGGUUUCCAUCGAUCGAGAGGAUCUACGAGCACGUCAAGUUUUGGCGGCGCAUAUCAGCAAGCUUGUACCGUGGAUGCAAUAUUCCAAUAUUGGAAAAACAAACUCAUUGAGAAGGAAUCGUCGCCAGUUCAAUGACCUUAUUUUGACCAUCAGUCUCAACAUAUUUUCGAUUCCAACAUAUUUUCGGAGAAGCUCGAAGCAGAUUGUGAUAUGCAUUCCAAAAAAAACCAGACACAGGAGAACGUUGAGAUUCGAUGGAAUAUGGGAACAAGAAAACAAUUGUCUAUUCGAUGUUGACAUGAAGGUUGAUGUUGAGAUUUACAAGCGAACUGCAAAAAUCAUUGGUGUGCAAUGAAAGUUCCCAAUAUUUACGGACAAGACAAGAUAUUUAUUUUCAAUUGAAAUACAAACAUCAGUCACAGGUCGAGUGCGCCUUACGCUAUGCGGUGGAUUUUAUCUAAGAAGAUCUACUCGUGGAUAUUGGGAUACGGCAAUCAAAAUGAUUCCAAUGAUGUUACACUCCGUAUCAGCAAUUUGCCAAUGUGCUUCAGUGCUCCGAGCUUGCCUGAUUUGAUUCGUUCCCAGAUGUUGGUCGUUAAAUACAAUAGCUGAUUCAAAAACUGCCCGUAGCAGGUAAAACUGUUAAACGUCUAUCAGCUGGUAAAUUCAAAUGGCGAAUCGAUUCUAGUAUGUGCACGAAAUAACACUGCUGUUGAUUAGUUAACAGAAACAAAUUAUCGUACCAACUUGGAAGUGUGUUGCUAAGGUUUGCGAAGCUUUGACUCUCCAAUUAUUUUUUGGCUCUGCACAUUCAAUUUCCUAACACGGACUUGAAGAAAUCACAACCUGCGAGUUCUGUUCGUCAAAAAAAAAUCUCUAAGGCAUGAGGAAAGAAGCGAAUCGGGAGUUGUUGGAAGCACAUGCACUUGCGUCAGUGCUGGUGAUCCCAGAUUUGAGUGUACGGUCCCGGUUGUACUUGCAACCAACAAUCGGGCUUGGACUAAUUGCAAUGUGUGAUAAGAUCAACGGAUCAACAUGCUCUAAUGUUUACGAGUUCGAGAGAAGUUUUCGUCCACACAGCACCGCCGAGAGCAUCAAACGUGAGGAGGAAUGGAAAGAAACCACUUAGUUCACCAGCAAGAUAUUGGAUACAUACUGAUUUAUUGCCUGCAUGCAACGUUUAGCAAAAACAUACCGGAUUGGUUCAGAUCAUCGGUUCCUCCGCCGGAUCACUGGGAGCACUCAUGUUUUCGGAAGGGCAAGUACAAGGCAACACGAUUAUGUUUGCCAACAUGCUUAUGCUGCCUUGGAUCGGAAUACGCUGGACCCUUUUUAGUCCAUCCAGGUCCUGCUUCAUCGGUUCUGAUUUUGACACGCUUGGUUGCUCAUCAAUACAGCGAUGAACUGAUAACAAAUAUAGAACUGUCCAUAAUCGAUGACAGCAAACCCAAAGGAAAGACAAUAACCUUUGGAAAAUAUCAUCCUGUAGGUACUAAUGGCUGCUGGCUCCCUGUUCGUGCUGAGAAAGAGAAUAACUGCUUUUUCGUCGAUUGAAUUUUGAUAGCUGAGAUUUAUUUGUGCGAUGCAAAGUAUCUCUGCCUGGUCUCGAAGAUUCCUUAGAUAAUCCACGGGCACACCCGUAUACCGACAAUUUCAUCUGUGACAGCGUAUGUCUGCUGAAGGAGUACGAGUACGAAUAGAAAAGCGGUACCGGAGACGCUUGGAUUCUGUACGAUACUUCGUCGGACAAGGAAGUUAAUUUGAACUUUAAUAUACUAAAGCAGAAAUGGCUGCACAAUUCGUGAAUCAGUUAGGUGGAGUUUAUCACCAAUUUCGUACCAAAUACAUAGUAUUUGCUCGCACUAUCCAAAGAGUAUGAAGGUAAUCGUUGGCUGUACAAAUUAAAGUGCUGCCAGACAGUAGUAUCCGGAGGUUAGGAGAAAUCCGCUCAUCAGGAAAAUGUUUUUAAUACGCACGGGAACUUGGAACAUGGAAAAGACAAUUCGUUUCUCGAAGGCUGGCUUCCAGCUGGAACAAUUCGGAAGGUCAGCAGGCCUGUGGUUCAGUAUCAAGGAUCACUGGCUAUUACAUAAUUGCCGCCGACAAUCCAAUAGUUCUUUCCAAACAGCAGCUGCGAAGUCAUCGGUUAAAUGUAUGCCACCAAGUAACCUGCAUCACCUUCCCUGGAUAUUUGUUCGGCAAUGCAGGUCCCGUCGGUAGCAUGAUAAACAGGCAGAGAAUCCCACCAUUGGACAUGUUCACUCAUCCUUACGGCCCGGAGCGUGUCCAGGCAGCAAUUGUGCCUGUCACAGUCGGUGCUCAUGAACAUUUAUCUCUGUUGGUUUUCCAGCACCUACUCAGGCGAUGCAGAUAGCUAAACAGUCAGCCUAAUCAAAUCGUAGUUGUAAUAGGCAUCAAACCGGAGUAAUAAUUAAUCAGUCUGCUAAGUCGAUCAAGUGCCACGAGUAAUGUUCCAACCGGGUUUUAGUCUCCUGUAGCAGCCUUGGUAACUGCUUUCCGUAAUCAGAAACAACACCGAAUUGUGUCCAACUGUAGCACAAAGUUAAUAAAUAAUUGGAAAAAUUUAA
Molecule: long non-coding RNA, 3156 nt
Organism: Topomyia yanbarensis
Lineage: Eukaryota; Metazoa; Arthropoda; Insecta; Diptera; Culicidae
Exons: 8
Source: RefSeq, a predicted model, not a curated record